AUGGCAAAGGUAUUUGAUGCAUCUGAGAAAGUAUAUCCUUACCUUAGGGAUUACCAUAAUCUGUUAUGGAUGAGGUGCAUGUUCAACCCUGCCAUCAAGUGUGACUACAUAAAUAACAAUCUUGUCGAGUGCUUCAACGCUUGGGGGCGAGAUAUCAAGGACUUGCCGAUUGAUCAGCUAGCUGAUAAGAUUAGAGAGAUGAUUAUGGAACUGUUUAGAAAAAGAAGAAUGAUUGGAGAAAGAUUUACAGGGAUAAUACUUCCAUUUGUCAUACACCAACUAAAUGCAAAGACUCGAGGACUAGGUCAUCUCAAGGCUAAAGCAUCAGCUGAUUGGAGUGGGGAAGUGAAAAAUGCUAACAAAGAGGAUGAAAGACAUGUGGUCAAAACUCUCACACAUGAGUGUAAAUGUCUGCAAUGGCAGCACACGGGCAAGCCUUGCGACCAUGCACUAGCCUUCAUAAAUGUCUUGCAAGCUCGCAACUUUGUUAACAUGGAGGACUAUGUACAUGAGUACUACUCAGUUAGCAGAUUUAGGGCAGCAUAUGAAGGUGUAAUUGAGCCCCUUACGGACAAGAAUCAAUGGCCACACGUGGACACAGGCUUUGUGUUGCGUCCACCAAUUCCAAUAGGCAAGAAGAAAGGUGCUGGAAGAACAAGAAAACAGAGGAUAAAGAGUUGGUGGGAAGGUGGAUCAAGGAAAGGAUCCUUGAACAAAUGCAAAAAAUGCGAGGAGGUAGGACAUAGAGAAGCUGGUUGUCCUCAAAAUGGAACAAAGAAAAGGAAAAGUAGGGGGAAAAAGAAUCAAUCUCCAUGGUUUGAUGUUUCAGUUAGCAAUGCCGUUCCAUCUACACCAACCAAGAGCAAGAAUGAUGCCACUUGUAGCAGUCCUGGAGCUGUCACAAGAAGCCAAGCUGCAGCUCAAGCUAGUCCUGGACCUGUCACAAGGAGCCAAGCUGCUACCCCACCACCAAAACCUCCAACAAAAGAAAAGAAGAAGAAAAUGACACCUAAAAGGAAGAAAUUAAGUGACCUGUGA
Molecule: ribosomal RNA, 1038 nt
Filed under: Triticum aestivum (bread wheat)
Lineage: Eukaryota; Viridiplantae; Streptophyta; Magnoliopsida; Poales; Poaceae
Description: partial small subunit ribosomal RNA
Source: RNAcentral